This 253-nucleotide ribosomal RNA is filed under the name uncultured bacterium. RNAcentral describes it as "partial 16S ribosomal RNA". It matches the Rfam family "Bacterial small subunit ribosomal RNA", at positions 524 to 776 of the family's 1533-position model. The record is from RNAcentral.
UACGAAGGGGGCAAGCGUUGUUCGGAAUGACUGGGCGUAAAGGGCGCGUAGGCGGUUCGUUGCGUCAGAUGUGAAAGCCCCGGGCUCAACCUGGGAACUGCAUUUGAUACGGGCGGGCUUGAAUCCAAGAGAGGGUGGUGGAAUUCCCAGUGUAGAGGUGAAAUUCGUAGAUAUUGGGAAGAACACCAGUGGCGAAGGCGGCCACCUGGCUUGGUAUUAACGCUGAGGCGCGAAAGCGUGGGGAGCAAACAGG